RNAcentral lists this long non-coding RNA (233 nucleotides) under Linum usitatissimum (flax). Its description in RNAcentral is "long non-coding RNA (LUSI_LNC007540)". The record is from RNAcentral. Lineage: Eukaryota; Viridiplantae; Streptophyta; Magnoliopsida; Malpighiales; Linaceae.
AAAAAUUGGAGCACGUUGGCAGAUCGCGGGCCUUGUGGUAGGUGAGAGGAUAAAUUCUAGAGCUCUCUGCUCUCUACCUAUCCAUUUGGCUAUUCCUCAAUCCUCAGUCUCCAUUUAUAAAAAAACAACAAAGCAACUAGUCAACAAAUCCUCACUCCAGCUCCUCCCGGUCACACUCUCAUCAGCCUUCAAUUUCCUCGCCUCCUACCUCCCUUCCGUUGGGGUUUCCUGAG